Molecule: long non-coding RNA, 772 nt
Organism: Hippoglossus stenolepis (Pacific halibut)
Lineage: Eukaryota; Metazoa; Chordata; Actinopteri; Pleuronectiformes; Pleuronectidae
Exons: 2
Source: RefSeq, a predicted model, not a curated record
GAGUUUUUCCUUUUUUUUCCUGACUGCAACCAGCAGAGGGCGCUCACUGAAGGGGCCUCAACUCAACCAACCCUCUGCUGGUAUUUUGGGGAAAAAAACAGUCGGAGUGGGACCUCUGCAUUCGUUUCCUGUCUCUGGUCGUGCCUACACCCCCACCCCCCAAAGACACAGACACACAUCAGACCGUCAGACCGGAGCCGGAGAGGGAGGAGAAGAAAACCCGUCUCGCCUCGCUGUGGUGGCUUUUGCGCACAUGUCUGUGGUUUAAAUCUGGAGGAUUUGACACCGUGACAACUUUUAUUUUGCAUCUCCCUGCAGCGAGAGAGCAGAGACAAUAGAGGAGGAAAAAUCGUGAGCGAGGAGCCGAUGUGGGAUUUUUACAUUUUACGCAAUCAGAGCAUCGACACAGGCUGAAUGGAGAUCGAGGCUGAGACACUGGAGUGAGGAGAUCUUUCAAGAGGACGACAGAAGGCGAACAGCUGCUGAGUAAAAGAGGCCAGGCGCUGGCUGAGGUAGUAGUUUGUGCUGUUGGUCGGGUUGUCACGUUGCUCCCGUUAUGGAGAUGACUGCGCAAUCUACUGCCUUGCCGGCGCUGGCGACUUGCGACAGAGGAAUGGAACUGGAUCAGGAUGAAGGGAAUGCAGAGGAGCAGGCAUCCACAAUUAUCAAGUGUUGUGAGCUUGGACAGACAUUUUCAUCUGAAACACAUGCAAAGCUAAAAUAUCCCAUGCUUUCCCCCCCAUUUUCAAUAAAGCUUAUUUUAAUGACAUCA